ACCCGCUGAACUUAAGCAUAUCAAUAAGCGGAGGAAAAGAAACCAACAGGGAUUGCCCUAGUAACGGCGAGUGAAGCGGCAACAGCUCAAAUUUGAAAUCUGGCGUCUUUGGCGUCCGAGUUGUAAUUUGCAGAGGGCGCUUUGGCAUCGGCAGCGGUCCAAGUUCCUUGGAACAGGACGUCACAGAGGGUGAGAAUCCCGUACGUGAUCGCUAGCCUUUACCGUGUAAAGCCCCUUCGACGAGUCGAGUUGUUUGGGAAUGCAGCUCUAAAUGGGAGGUAAAUUUCUUCUAAAGCUAAAUACUGGCCAGAGACCGAUAGCGCACAAGUAGAGUGAUCGAAAGAUGAAAAGCACUUUGGAAAGAGAGUUAAAAAGCACGUGAAAUUGUUGAAAGGGAAGCGCUUGCAGCCAGACUUGCCUGUAGUUGCUCAUCCGGGUUUUUACCCGGUGCACUCUUCUAUAGGCAGGCCAGCAUCAGUUUGGGCGGUUGGAUAAAGGUCUCUGUCAUGUACCUCUCUUCGGGGAGAACUUAUAGGGGAGACGACAUGCAACCAGCCUGGACUGAGGUCCGCGCAUCUGCUAGGAUGCUGGCGUAAUGGCUGU
Molecule: ribosomal RNA, 603 nt
Filed under: uncultured fungus
Lineage: Eukaryota; Fungi
Description: eukaryotic LSU rRNA
Rfam family: Eukaryotic large subunit ribosomal RNA
Source: RNAcentral